This 292-nucleotide ribosomal RNA is filed under the name uncultured bacterium. RNAcentral describes it as "partial 16S ribosomal RNA". The record is from RNAcentral.
GGACUACCGGGGUAUCUAAUCCUGUUUGCUCCCCUUGCUUUCGCGCCUCAGCGUCAGUAUCAGCCCAGAAAACCGUCUUCACCACCGGUGUUCUUCCACAUAUCUACGCAUUUCACCGCUACACGUGGAAUUCCGUUUUCCCUAGCUGAACUCUAGUGAGGAAGUUUCAAGUGCAGCUCCGGGGUUGAGCCCCGGAAUUUCACACCUGACUUUCCUUACCGCCUACGCGCCCUUUACGCCCAGUAAUUCCGAUCAAUGCUUGCACCCUCCGUAUUACCGCGGCGGCUGGCAC